Molecule: long non-coding RNA, 1562 nt
Organism: Eriocheir sinensis (Chinese mitten crab)
Lineage: Eukaryota; Metazoa; Arthropoda; Malacostraca; Decapoda; Varunidae
Exons: 4
Source: RefSeq, a predicted model, not a curated record
CACUCUCAUCACUGAGUCAUCAGUAGCAAUCUUUCCUGGUGAGGUGAGGACGUCGUCAGGUGCUCCUUAAAUGGUAGGCUUUUGCUAUGAUCCUUGUGAUGGGGGUUUGUAAGACUAACGUGAACCUGACCUUACCCGAUUUGACUUAAUAAUAUGAAGUAAUGUAGCCUAUUUGUAGAGCCCACAGUCAUCUUUCAUGUUACCCAGAGCAUGUUUCAGAAGCGACAUUUUGGGGCUUCGAUCAGCUCAGUAAAUCAUAUUAGUUUUGUUUGUCUCGUUUGGUUGUAUUGAAUUUGAUAUUUCCCCUAAUUUUGCCUUUUUUUGUGUGUGUUCUUUAAAGUAAGCAGUAGGGUUAUAUAGGUGGCUGGCACAAAAAGAUCGGUUCUGCCAAGGCGAAGCGAGUCGUUACCAAGCGAUACCAUGAUCGGAGCAAUGAAUAUUUACACACACACACACACACACACACACACACAAAGGUAGAAUUGGGAAUGGUUAUUGUGUUUUUAUAAUAUUUUUUGCGUUAAUAGUGAAGGUAAAGUAAUGGGAGGGCAGGAAAGGUUAUGGUGGUGCCCCGAUUAACACACACACACACACACACACACACACACACACACACACGUGAGCACGCGUAUGUGCUAAAUGACAUGGUGUGAAAGAAUGAAAAAAUUAAGGAGAAAAGUUAAAGUGGAUACAAAAAUAUACUCGGAGACAGUAAUGAGGUGUAGUAAUGGGGGCAUGGAGCCUUGGUAUGAGUCUCUUCAGGUCAGUUGGCGGCCCUUAGGAGUCAGCAGGGUGAAGGAAUGAGUUAAAUGCGAUUUUUCUUUUCCUGAUCAGUUUGGGCUGAUAGCUGACGGGAUGCACAGCCAACCCCAAGAGUUUCUCACCGCAGCCGCCAGACAACAGGGAUCCCAGUUUUACAAACACACAGACAACAAAUGCAUGAACAAUUUAGCAGACAUAAGGAGGACAACGUGGCGAUCUGCACGGUGUUGGGCUGAGUGGGGACAAAAAGGAAACAGAGGGAAGGAUGGUAAAUUAAGUUGGCAAAAGUGUUCCUCGCGCAGUGCUGGGAAAAAAGGGCACAAAUGUUUGAAUAAGUGAAGAUAAGUGACUAUUUCAGUUUAGAAAAUUACGUAACACUGAAAAGGAAGGUGUGUGAAUAAUGGAGGAACGAGAGGAGGAGGACCUAAGAAGCGACAAUCAUUAUCAUACAAAGCGUUACAAGUCAAAAGAAGAAGAAGCCAGACAGUUCACGGCAUGCAAGAAAGACAGUUUUCUCUCUAUAUCUGCUUGUCUGUUGACUUUUGCUAAAUUCCUGCAGAAUAUUGAAGACACACCAGCUUCCACUGCCCUAGUACCUAAUGCAGAGGCAGAGAGAAACAGCAGUUCCUGUAGCUGCAGAUGAGUAACUGAAAUCAUCACAAGGUGUCAUGAACUGUAAACCCGGCCAGGUGCCACACCCCUCCAAGAACGUUGUGAUCAGGUGUGAUGCUGCUCUGUGGACACUGCCAGGUGUUGCCCCCUCCAAGUGGUGAGAAUUCAGCCGAGUCAAGCUUCAGGAG